Molecule: transfer RNA, 72 nt
Filed under: Toxocara canis (dog roundworm)
Lineage: Eukaryota; Metazoa; Nematoda; Chromadorea; Rhabditida; Toxocaridae
Rfam family: tRNA
About the family: Transfer RNA (tRNA) molecules are approximately 80 nucleotides in length. Their secondary structure includes four short double-helical elements and three loops (D, anti-codon, and T loops).
Source: Rfam by way of RNAcentral
GUGGCAGUAGUUCAGUGGUAGAGCCUCCGCUCCGCAUGUGGGUAGACCUGGGUUCGAUUCCCGGCUGCUUCC